GACGAACGCUGGCGGCGUGCUUAACACAUGCAAGUCGAGGGCACUUUGGGGGGCAACUCUGGAGUGACCGGCGAACGGGUGCGUAACACGUGAGCGACCUUGCCUCGUGGUGGGGGAUAGCCGGCCCAACGGCCGGGUAAUACCGCAUAGGGUGGUCUUUUCGCAUGGAGAGACUAGCAAAGCCCUGGAGCAAUCCAGUGGCGCCACAGGGGGGGCUCGCGGCCUAUCAGCUAGUUGGGGGGGGAAGUGGCCCACCCAAGGCGACGACGGGUAGGCUGGUCUGAGAGGAUGGCCAGCCACAUU
RNAcentral lists this ribosomal RNA (303 nucleotides) under uncultured bacterium. Its description in RNAcentral is "partial 16S ribosomal RNA". It matches the Rfam family "Bacterial small subunit ribosomal RNA", at positions 28 to 314 of the family's 1533-position model. The record is from RNAcentral.